AGAAAUAGAAAUAGAGAAAUUAAUUUCAAAUGAAGAAAAUCAGGCCAACAUAAUUACAUAAGCGUAUUUUAACAUUUUUUUUCUCAGAUAAUGAAUAUGCAAUACGAUUGGCAUGGAAACCUAGUCAAAUUGUCAUCAAAUCGAUCCUACUUGCCCAUAGUGAGACUACGGACCUUCACUGUUCCACCCCCUCACUGCGGUUACCCAAAAAAUUUCUUUAUAACAAAAAAAGAGCCUCAUUUUUUAACGGUCCACGCGCUUCCUUACUGAUACGGACUUGCUUUUCCCAGCUGUCCAUAACUGAUUUUCAAUUUCUUCCUUGGCUUUUUGGCAGAGAGAACUGUUAGAAAAAAAAAACAGCAGCAACAAUGAACAACAAAGAGCAUAAGCUCAUGAAAACAGCAAGCAAAAAUUGAUAGGCUAAAAAAUAGCCGAAUGAGAAAGUCUACACUUUCAUUUCCAUUACAAAAUAUAUAAGAAUUACAAAAGUGGAAUGUUUACCUAACAAUUUCCACUAAAUUUGGCAACUUGCCAAUUAAUAAUUAAAAAGAUGAAAGCAUUGUAACUACCAUUAUGAAAGCAUAUUAGCUAUCAUUAUGAAAGCAAAAGAUGAAAGCAUUAUAGCUAUCAUUAUGAAAGCAUAUUAGCUAUUAUUAUGAAACCAAGUUGCAUAUCAACUUGUUUCAAUUAUAGCUAUCAUUACAAAUAUUAAAAAUAAACAAAAUAAACAAAAUGAACAAAAUGCACCAAGUUGCUCCUUUGUUGCUUUACAGUCCAUGUUCAACACUCCUCCUUGGACUGUAAGCAACAAACACCAAUUGAUUUCCUUAGAAAUUCAAACCUGAUUGUGCCAAGAGGCUUUGUCAAAAUGUCAGCCAAUUGAUCUUGUGAGCUGCAAUGUAUUAGACUCACUUAUUUGGAUUGGACAACUUCUCGAACAAAGUAAAACUUGAGCUUAAAAUGUUUGGUUUUGCCAUGAAAAACAGGAUUUUUAGAGAUGGCAACUGCUGACUGGUUAUCCACCAAAAUUUCAGUAGGCUCGAGCUGUUCUUCAUUCNNNNNNNNNNNNNNNNNNNNNNNNNNNNNNNNNNNNNNNNNNNNNNNNNNNNNNNNNNNNNNNNNNNNNNNNNNNNNNNNNNNNNNNNNNNNNNNNNNNNAAAUGGCUUGAUUUACUGCUGCAGCAGCUGCUAUGUAUUCAGCUUCAGCAGUAGACUGAGCAACAGUUUGUUGCUUCUUUGAACUCCAACUGAAAACUCCCGAACCAAGUGUAAAGAAGUAGCCUGAAGUACUUCUCAUAUCAUCAACUGAUCCACCCCAGUCACUAUCUGAGUAGCCAGUUAAUUUCAGCUCACUUCCUUUCUUGAACAUUACACCAAACUUCAAAGUACCUUUGACAUACCUGAGUAUUCUCUUUGCUGCUUUCAAAUGAGUUGUAUUGCAGCUGUGCAUGAAUCUAGACAGUAGACUAACUGAAUGCAUAAGGUUAGGUCUGGUUGCUGUCAAGUAAAGUAAACAACCAAUCAGGCUUCUAUACUCCUUUUCAUCUACCUUUUCUUCAUUUCCAAAGCUGCUUACUUUCUCUCCCACAGCUAAUGGUGUGCUCAUUGGUUUGCUGUUUUCCAUAUGAAACUUAGUGAGAAUUUUCAAGGCAAAUGCAUGUUGGCUGAUAAAAAUGCCUUGAUCAGACUGGUCUACUUCCAUACCAAGGAAGUAAGUCAUGAUUCCCAAGUCUGUCAUGUCAAACAUGUCUUGCAUAUUCUUCUUGAACUCUUGAAUCAAAUCGACCCUGCUUCCAGUCACUAAUAGAUCAUCUACAUAUAUUGAGACAAUCAGCAAAGUCUCAUCUUUGGACUUCUUUAUAAACAAAGUUGGCUCACUCAAACUUUUCUCGAAAUUGAGCUUAGACAGGUAAGCAUCUAUCCUGUCAUACCAGGCUCGAGGAGCCUGUUUUAGUCCAUAGAGUGCCUUCUUCAGCUUGUAAACCUUGUCCUCCUUUCCUUGGACUUUAAAUCCAUCAGGCUGUUCAACAUAAAUCUCCUCCUUAAGAAAGCCAUUCAGGAAAGCUGACUUGACAUCAAGCUGAUGGACCUUCCACUGUUUCUGUGCAGCCAAAGUAAACAGGAGCUUUAUGGUGUCCAGCCUUGCUACUGGAGCAAAUGUCUCCUCAAAAUCAAUGCCAAACUGUUGAUUGUACCCUUUCACCACAAGCCUUGCCUUGUGCUUGUUCAAAGAGCCAUCAGCAUUGAAUUUGGUCCUGAAAACCCAUUUGACACCUAUGACCUUCUUCUGAUCAGGUAUGUCUACCAGAUCCCAAGUGUCAUUCUUAUGGAUCAUGUCGAUUUCAGCCUCCAUAGCCUUCUUCCAGCUCUUGCUUCUUGCAGCUUCUUCAUAGCUUGAAGGCUCAACAAUGGCCACAUUGCAUCUUUGGUAGAUAUCAGCAAUAGACCUGGUCCAUCUCACAGGAGUAUCAUCUAUAUUGGCAUUACUGACUUCAUUUUCUGCCAAUUCUAGAUUGCUGUCAAUCUGCUCUUCUUCAAACUGACUUGUGUUAGAGCCAUCUAGACUCCAAAACCUUCCUUCAUCGAAUUUGACAUCCCUGCUUACCAAAAUCUUCUUGGUUGAAGGAUCAAAUACUCUGUAGCCCUUCUUGCAGCUACUGUAGCCAACAAAUAUACCAGGAACUGAUCUCUUCUCAAGCUUGGUUCUUCUUUCUGCAGGGACAAGUACAAAACACAUGCAACCAAACACUUUUAAAUGGGAAACUGUUGGUUUAAGAUCAUACCAUGCUUCAAAAGGAGUUUUAUCAUUUAAAGCAUGUGUUGGCAGCCUAUUGAGCAGGUACACUGAGGUGUUGACACCUUCAGCCCAAAAAAUGUUUGGAAGCUUGCUUUGAAACAACAAAUACCUGGUCAUGUUCAUCACUGUUCUAUUCUUCCUUUCACAUACUCCAUUUUGCUGAGGAGUAUACACUGUGGUCAAUUGAUGAUGAAUCCCAGCCUGCUCACAUAGCUUCUGAAAUCUUUCAGACAAGUAUUCAGAACCAUUGUCUGUCCUCAAGGCCUUAAUCCUGCAGCCUGUUUGAUUUUCUUCCAAUGCCUUGAACUUUCCAAAAACUUCAAACACUUCUGACUUUUGUUUCAUGAAAUAAACCCAGCAAAAUCUGGUCAGAUCAUCAAUAAACAAUAUAAAAUACUUACUGCCAUUCAGUGAAGGGGUCUUCAUUGGUCCACAGACAUCUGAGUGCACCAACUCAAGUCUUUCUCGAGCCCUCCAUGCUUGGUUUACUGGAAAAGGCAACCUGGCCUGCUUACCAAGCUGGCACACUUCACAAACAGACUCAUUUGCAUCAACCUUAAUCAUGUCCUCUAUCAAACUCAUCUUGUGCAGCAAAUUGAGUGACCUGAAAUUAACAUGGCCAAAUCUUCUAUGCCACAGAUCAGCAUUGUCAACUGAACUUGUAUAGGCUCUACUCUCAAGUUGGCUCACAUCCAGCAUAAAACACCUAUCUGCCAUGGGUGCUGAAACAACUUCUCUACCAAGAAUAUCAUUAAUAACACAAGAAUCAUUCUUGAAAACUAGAGAGUAGCCUUUCUUAACCAGCUGACCUACACUAAGUAGAUUUUGAUCUAUUUCAAGUACAUAAAGCACAUCUGAAAUAACCUUGUUACCUGAACCAGUGUUGAUCACAACAUCACCUCUGCCUUUAGCUUCAAUCAGAUUCCCAUUGCCUAUUCUGACCUUUGAAGCAAAACUCCUGUCAAGAUCCUUGAACAGGCUCUCAUCUGAUGCCAUGUGAUGUGAGCAGCCACUAUCCACAAGCCAACUGCAUUUGGAUUUGCUUGUGGUUGUAGAACAUGAGGCAGUGAAGACAUGCUCCUCCUGAGCUUGAAGAUCUUCAGCAGUCUUGGCUUGUACUGGCAGAGUUUGUGACUUUUCUUGAUUUCUACAAAUCUUUUCAUGAUGACCAUACUGCUUGCAGCUCUUGCAUUGGAUGUCUGGUUUGUUCCAGCAAUACUUCUCCAAAUGGUUAGUCUUCUUGCAGUGAACGCAUGGUGGAAACCUCCUUCUACCGACAUCUUUCUUUGAUCUUUCCCUCUUUUCAAACUAAGGCUUCUUAGCUUUCUGACUUGAGCUGGAGCCUUCUCUGACCUUUGCUUGAAAAGCACCUUCAGGACUUUCCUCCUGCCUAGUUGCUCUUCUCUGCUCAAGUGCAUAAAGUGAGUUAACCAACUCAGACAAAGAAAUGGUUGUGAGAUCUCUCAAGUCCUCCAAUGAGGAGAUUUUUGACUCAAACCUUUCAGGUAAGGUGGUAAUAACCUUCUCAACAACCCUGCUGUCACUGAAAUCUUCUCCAAGGAGUCUAAUAUUAUUGACAGUAGCCAUAAUCCUAUCAGAAUAUUGCUUGAUAGUUUCUGACUCCUUCAUCUUCAAAUUUUCAAACUCCCUUCUAAGAUUAAUUACUUGUUGCUGCCUUGUCUUGUCUGAUCCCAUGAACUCCUCUUUCAGCUUGUCCCAAGCUUGUUUGGGUGAGUCACAGGCCAUGAUGCGAGUAAAAAUUACAUCAGACACUCCAUUCUGUAGGCAGGCCAUGGCUUUAUGCUUCUUGGCUCGCUCCUCACCAUGUUGCUUGAUCUGAGCAAUGGUUGGAUUUGCUCUCAAUGGUAGUGGCUCGACAUCAUUUUCAACUGCACUCCACAGAUCAAGUGCUUGGAGGUAAGUUUUCAUUUUAACUACCCAGAUGUGGUAGUUUUCUCCAGCAAAAAUUGGUGGUGGAGGCGGUGCAAAGCUCAUGUUGCUGAAACUGGUUUGACAAACACAAUUUUUGAGUUUAUUUUGAAACAAAAAAAAACUUAAACAACAGAGGUCCUCAAAGACAAGAGGCUCUGAUUACCAUUUGUUAGAAAAAAAAACAGCAGCAACAAUGAACAACAAAGAGCAUAAGCUCAUGAAAACAGCAAGCAAAAAUUGAUAGGCUAAAAAAUAGCCGAAUGAGAAAGUCUACACUUUCAUUUCCAUUACAAAAUAUAUAAGAAUUACAAAAGUGGAAUGUUUACCUAACAAUUUCCACUAAAUUUGGCAACUUGCCAAUUAAUAAUUAAAAAGAUGAAAGCAUUGUAACUACCAUUAUGAAAGCAUAUUAGCUAUCAUUAUGAAAGCAAAAGAUGAAAGCAUUAUAGCUAUCAUUAUGAAAGCAUAUUAG
RNAcentral lists this long non-coding RNA (5200 nucleotides) under Gossypium raimondii (Peruvian cotton). RNAcentral's name for it is "long non-coding RNA (GRAI_LNC000012)". Lineage: Eukaryota; Viridiplantae; Streptophyta; Magnoliopsida; Malvales; Malvaceae. The record is from RNAcentral.